GAUGAACGCUGGCGGCGUGCCUAAUACAUGCAAGUCGAGCGAACGGACGAGAAGCUUGCUUCUCUGAUGUUAGCGGCGGACGGGUGAGUAACACGUGGAUAACCUACCUAUAAGACUGGGAUAACUUCGGGAAACCGUAGCUAAUCCCGGAUAAUAUUUUGAACCGCAUGGUUCAAAAGUGAAAGACGGUCUUGCUGUCACUUAUAGAUGGAUCCGCGCUGCAUUAGCUAGUUGGUAAGGUAACGGCUUACCAAGGCAACGAUGCAUAGCCGACCUGAGAGGGUGAUCGGCCACACUAGAACUGAGACACGGUCCAGACUCCUACGGGAGGCAGCAGUAGGGAAUCUUCCGCAAUGGGCGAAAGCCUGACGGAGCAACGCCGCGUGAGUGAUGAAGGUCUUCGGAUCGUAAAACUCUGUUGUUAGGGAAGAACAUAUGUGUAAGUAACUGUGCACAGCUUGACGGUACCGAAUCAGAAAGCCACGGCUAACUACGUG
RNAcentral lists this ribosomal RNA (497 nucleotides) under uncultured bacterium. RNAcentral's name for it is "partial 16S ribosomal RNA". It matches the Rfam family "Bacterial small subunit ribosomal RNA", at positions 28 to 507 of the family's 1533-position model. The record is from RNAcentral.